RNAcentral lists this ribosomal RNA (117 nucleotides) under Bulboplastis apyrenoidosa. The record is from RNAcentral. Lineage: Eukaryota; Rhodophyta; Rhodellophyceae; Dixoniellales; Dixoniellaceae.
UGGUGUUUAUAGCGUAAUGGUACCACUACGAUCCAUACCGAACUCGUGAGUUAAAUGUUACAGCGGCGAAGAUACUGCUAGAGGAGUCUAGUGGAAAACUAGCACGAUGCCAAAGAA